This 105-nucleotide non-coding RNA is filed under the name Paramoeba aestuarina. Lineage: Eukaryota; Discosea; Flabellinia; Dactylopodida; Paramoebidae. The record is from RNAcentral.
UAAAAAAAGAAAGGAGAGAAAGAAAAGAAGGAGGGAAAAGAUGAACCCCCCCAAACUGAUGAAAUGAUUUCAAGAAAACUAAUUCUCUCUUUUUUUUUUCAUUUU